This 1437-nucleotide ribosomal RNA is filed under the name Lernaeodiscus rybakovi. RNAcentral describes it as "partial large subunit ribosomal RNA". It matches the Rfam family "Eukaryotic large subunit ribosomal RNA", at positions 70 to 1284 of the family's 3401-position model. Lineage: Eukaryota; Metazoa; Arthropoda; Thecostraca; Lernaeodiscidae. The record is from RNAcentral.
UGGGAUUCCUUUAGUAACGGCGAGUGAAACGGGAUCAGCUCAGCGUCAAAGCCGGCCGUCGAGAGAUGGUCGUGCAAUGUGACGUUCGGGAAAGCCAUCAUGUCCGCGUGCACCAUCGGUCCAAGUCUUCUGGAAAGGAGUCCCUCAGAGGGUGAUAGGCCCGUAGGGCCGAUUGGUGUGUUCACGGUCAGGUUUUCCUUCGAGUCGGGUUGCUCGCUAAUGCAGCCCUAAGCAGGUGGUAAGCUCCAUCUAAAGCUAAAUAUGACCACAAGUCCGAUAGUGAACAAGUACAGUGAUGGAAAGUUGAAAAGUACUCUGAAGAGAGAGUCAAACAGCACGUGAAGCUGCCUUCUAUGGGAUUAAGCGCACGUGUGGCACUUGUCGUUGGACAAAUAGGCGCCAGCUGGUGUGUGUGGUUGUCCGCUGUUGUGCUGCAGUCGAUGUAGCACGGCGUGCAGUCAGUGUGUGACACUUGCUGAGUGCUUUCCUUUGUUUGGCUUUGACAGGUCGAAGCUUCGUCACAAUUAUAUCGGUCCUAUUGCCAGGUGUCAUUUGCUGAGCCGGUGGCGGCUGUUGUGCUGUUGUGCUUGCAUAGCAGUGCAGCAGUGUCGCGUCGAACUGGCACUCGUUCGCCGAGUGGCGGCGUCGCUUUUGGUCAGCAAUGCGAGUGCAACUGUGCGAGAGACUGUGUGACGGCUGGCGCAAUGUUGGUNNNNNNNNNNNNNNNNNNNNNNNNNNNNNNNNUCAAACACGGACCAAGGAGUCUAACAUAUCAGCGAGCGAUUGAGAUAUUGACUAAUCUCAAACGCACAAUGAAAGUGAAGUGUCGUCUGACGACAUGAGCGGGGAUUUGUGCUCCAGCGUGUGUGCAACGCACCCGCGGGCCACGCCAUUGGCUAGCUUGUCGGCUUCGCGGUUUGACACUGCCAAGGCGUGGACCCAGAGUUGAUACGUUGGGACCCGAAAGAUGGUGAGCUAUGCCUGGCCAGGAUGAAGUCAGCGGAAACGCUGAUGGAGGUCCGUAGCGAUUCUGACGUGCAAAUCGAUCGUCUGAGCUGGGUAUAGGGGCGAAAGACCAAUCGAACCAUCUAGUAGCUGGUUCCGCCCGAAGUUUCCCUCAGGAUAGCUGGCGCUCGUGUGAUACGGAGUUUCAUCCGGUAAAGCGAAUGACUAGAGGAAAUGGGCUUCUUCCUAGCUCAACCUAUUCUCAAACUUUCAAUGGGUGAGACGUCUCGCUGGCUUCAAUGCAGCGACGACUCUGUGAAUCCCUGAGUGCCUAGUGGGCCACUUUUGGUAAGCAGAACUGGCGAUGCGGGAUGAACCGCAUGUUGACUUAAGGUGCCUAAGCGAACGCUAAUCAGAUACCAUGAAAGGUGUCGAUUGCUCACGACAGCAGGACGGUGGCCAUGGAAGUCGGCAUCCGCUAAGGAGUGUGUA